RNAcentral lists this ribosomal RNA (527 nucleotides) under bacterium enrichment culture. RNAcentral describes it as "bacterial SSU rRNA". It matches the Rfam family "Bacterial small subunit ribosomal RNA", at positions 355 to 873 of the family's 1533-position model. The record is from RNAcentral.
UGGGGAAUUUUGGACAAUGGGCGCAAGCCUGAUCCAGCCAUUCCGCGUGAGUGAAGAAGGCCUUCGGGUUGUAAAGCUCUUUCGCAAGGGAAGAAAACUUAUCUUCUAAUAUUAGAUGAGGAUGACGGUACCUUGAUAAGAAGCACCGGCUAACUACGUGCCAGCAGCCGCGGUAAUACGUAGGGUGCGAGCGUUAAUCGGAAUUACUGGGCGUAAAGCGUGCGCAGGCGGUUUUUUAAGUCUGAUGUGAAAUCCCCGGGCUCAACCUGGGAACUGCGUUGGAAACUGUCGAGCUAGAGUGUGUAAGAGGGGGGUAGAAUUCCACGUGUAGCAGUGAAAUGCGUAGAGAUGUGGAGGAAUACCGAUGGCGAAGGCAGCCCCCUGGGAUAAUACUGACGCUCAUGCACGAAAGCGUGGGGAGCAAACAGGAUUAGAUACCCUGGUAGUCCACGCCCUAAACGAUGUCUACUAGUUGUUGGUGGAGUAAAAUCCAUUAGUAACGCAGCUAACGCGUGAAGUAGACCGCC